RNAcentral lists this small nucleolar RNA (152 nucleotides) under Ipomoea nil (Japanese morning glory). Its description in RNAcentral is "small nucleolar RNA snoR134". It matches the Rfam family "small nucleolar RNA snoR134". The record is from Rfam by way of RNAcentral. Lineage: Eukaryota; Viridiplantae; Streptophyta; Magnoliopsida; Solanales; Convolvulaceae.
UUGCACGUAGCCUCCCGGGCAAUUCUGAGAUACAGUGUGAAGAACGAGCCCCAAAUGCUCGUGCCAAAAAGACGUCGCUGUCUGUGUUGCAGUCUAGCCAUUGUACCACUUUCUAUCCAUAGCUUUUCUGUGUCAAUUCGACGGCUACAUUU